Molecule: ribosomal RNA, 124 nt
Filed under: uncultured archaeon
Lineage: Archaea
Description: partial 16S ribosomal RNA
Rfam family: Archaeal small subunit ribosomal RNA
Source: RNAcentral
GCGCGAAAACUUUACAAUGCCGGCAACGGCGAUAAGGGGACCUCGAGUGCCAGGUUACAAAUCUGGCUGUCGUGAUGCCUAAAAAGCAUUGCAUAGCAAGGGCCGGGCAAGACCGGUGCCAGCC